GGACAGUUGAGUCAGGGGUGAAAGCCCGGUGCUCAACCCCGGAAUUGCCCUUGAUACUGGCUGUCUUGAGUACGGGAGAGGUGUGUGGAACUCCGAGUGUAGAGGUGAAAUUCGUAGAUAUUCGGAAGAACACCAGUGGCGAAGGCGACACACUGGCCCGUUACUGACGCUGAGGCGCGAAAGCGUGGGGAGCAAACAG
This 199-nucleotide ribosomal RNA is filed under the name uncultured bacterium. RNAcentral's name for it is "partial 16S ribosomal RNA". It matches the Rfam family "Bacterial small subunit ribosomal RNA", at positions 577 to 775 of the family's 1533-position model. The record is from RNAcentral.